Non-coding RNA from Erythranthe guttata (spotted monkey flower), 2976 nucleotides. The record is from RefSeq and is a predicted model, not a curated record. NCBI's taxonomy places the organism in Eukaryota, Viridiplantae, Streptophyta, Magnoliopsida, Lamiales, Phrymaceae.
GCUCUCCAUUAUUAUCCCUUUACAGGGUGAUUCGUUCCCUCCGAACCCAAUCGGAAUCUCAAACUCUUCAUAGUGUACUACCACGUGGAGGGCCUCGCCCGCCGGUUGAAGCGUCUGCGGCAUCGACGCCGUGCUCUACCGGGUGCCCCAAACCCUUCCCGAUGAAGUCCCCGCCAAAAUGCUGGCCCCAGAGAAGGACGAUUCGAUUCCCGUAAUCGGGUUUCCGGAGGAUUUGACCGGUUCGAUUCCCGUAAUCGGGUUUCCGGAGGAUUUGACCGGCGCCGAUGGGUUUCUCUUCGGGUUUCUGACGAGGUACGGGUCCAUGGCUGCGCAAAUGAAGCCUUUCUUUGAUUCGACUGUGCAGCUAUGGAGGGAGCAAAAACUCGCCCGGAAAACAAGCCGGCUUUUUCGUCAGCACCGGCACUCAAGGCGGCGACCAAUAGACCACUGCGUGAACUGCAAUUACUCAACUAGCAGAUACGGAAUGCUUUUUGUUCCGAUUGGAUAUACUUUUGGAGCAGGUGUGUUUAAAAUGGAUUCGAUAAGAGGUGGCUCUCCGUACGGUGCUGAAGUUUAUGCAGGUGAUGGAACAAGGGAACGGUAAUAAGAGGAAAAGAAAGGUGUUGGAUAAUGAUAGCCAGUCUCUCUGCAGCUUGCUUUUGAUGGUGUCAAGGAUAUUACCGGUGUUGAACGGUGUGCAUCCAGGUAUUGAACGGUGGUGCACGGGCCUACAAUUUCUGACUAUGACCGCCGCCCUCCUCUGCCGCCUUCAAUCAGGUCUUCCGCCGCCGCCUCCGCCGCUUCGUUCGAGGCCACCGCCCCAGCUGCCAGUGUCACUUCCCACCGCAUUUUUCAUCCAAUUGCAGACCGCUCCCCCUUUUCGAUCUCAUCCGGACUUGGAUUACUCAAGAAUUGUCUAUUGUCGGUGCCCACCCCUUUUCUCCAACAUAAUCAUGGUGUUUCCUUUGGGGAUUCUUCGUGUUAGUUCUUCCGUGUUCUACAACACCGUGCCUCAUUUGUGGACGCGAAAUCUUGAGAUUUAUUUCACUGUAGCCUUGAAAAGCACAUUGGUGUGGUAAGUGUAAACCCCGUAUAACAUCCCGAAAGCAUUCUUCGAUAUUUAAUCUAAAAUUGUAUUUUUCAGGCCUUGAUUUUGCUCGUCAGUCUAUGAUUUGUCGAUUUUAGCCUUUGCUUUUGCUAUUGUUCGGAUAUUCUGAAUUUUUUUUUAUGGAACUCCUCUGUUUUUGUUUCUCUCUGUUUUGGUGAUAUGGUCUUAUUCUUCAAACUGUGGCCUGAUUUUUUCCUUAUUUUAAGAUCAUGCAUUGUUGAAGCAGGUGAAAGCAAUGAGGCAACUACAACUUAGAAAAUUGAGGAUUGUGGCAAACAAGCAAAUGUGCAGCAAAUCUCUGUAGCUCAAUUUCUUGUUUGUGUUUCCUUUGCACGAUUUUUCUUUUUAUCUUUAAUCAAAUGAGGUCUGGUAUCGAUUGUUUAAUUUAUGCUAUCGAUUCGUGACUGGAAUUUUAACUAAUAAAUGUAAACACUUCCAUUGCAGAUCUGCUCGUGGGGUCUUGUCUGGUAAAACAUAUUGAGGACUUGCACUUGCGCAACAACUGUAUUAGGCGUGGUAAGAGUAGGGAGUUGAAGCUAUGGAGGGAGCGCGUCUGCUUGGAUUGCAUUUGUGGGGCCGACCAGGCACCUCACUGCCGCCAAUUUUUUUGCCCCGUCUGGAUGCGUAUGAGUUUCACUUUCACUAUUUGUGUGCCAAUUCUUAAAAAUCGAAUAAUUGAUGCAUGUUUAUUGGUUAUCUGUGGUCUAUAGAGGUUUUAUAAUUUGCCUGUGCUUCUCUUUUCAUUAGUCAUAAGUUGCUGCUUGAGUUUAGUUUUUAUUUGUUUAGUUUAUUGGGAGUUUUAUUGAAGUUUUGAACUGAUAUACAAGUAUUCUUUGGAUAGUUAUAAUAUUAAACUUGUAUUAUUCAAUCAAACAGAUCGACAUUGUAUACAUGGGAGACACUCUUAAUUAUUCAUCUAUGUAGAUUUUUAUAUUAAUACGCAGUUUGCAGGUGAUCCUCUCGUGGAAGAUAUCUCUAGACUGCACAACAACGGUGUAGGCAGAUCAAAUAGGGUAUAGUUUUUAGUUCUGAUAACUUAUUAUGAGUUCUUUUAUGUUCUUAAAGUUGGAAAGUUUAUGUUGGCUGAUUUUUCCAUUUUCAAAAAUUAUUUUACCUGAACAAAUAAAGUAAUAGAUUGAGCCACGAUGUUGACAAGUUUGUAGAGCCAACCGAUGCAUACAGUGAUUUGUUCGACAACCUGAAUUGGUGAGUUUAUAUGUUUUCCCUUUAAGGUAAAACCAUUUAGGUUCCGAUUCUGGAUCCAGGCGCAUGGUUGAAGUGAUGAAAUAAUUUUCUUCUUUGCCUCAAUACAUUCCGGUAUUCCAUUUUCCUUACGAUAUGAGUCUGUGUUGCAUUUAUUCCUUAUGAUAUUUCUUCAGUACUGUUUUUAAAUUAUAUAUAUUAAACGAUAUUCAGUUUUCAGUUCUUUUAUGUGGGAUAGAGCUAUGACGGAUUUAUGCAUGUGUGUGUGUGUGUGUGUGUGAGAGUGUGGAUUACCUAACAAAAUAUGCUUGUUUUGCAGUGUGAAAAUAGCUAAUUAGGAAAACAUGGACUUCUUUUAAUGUUAUUUCCAGUCUCUCUCCAAGGCCAUGCACAAGCUAAAAUUCCUCUGGAAAAGGCGCACACAUAUUUUGCUAGUGGACUCAAAGAUCUUAUACUUGCAUAACGACGCUUCCUCCUAUCUUCUCUCCACACCCACAACCCUCCUGCCCCGCCGGACGACUACGCCCUCUCCGACCUACUCCUCCUCGACGAGACCUCCCGCUCCACCGCAGAUGGAACUGUCCCUGCCAUCGCUCCCCACAUUUGCCUUCACGUCGAUGGCCCCUUACUCUUCCCUCUCCACGUCGCGCCCUUAUUUCCUCUCU